AAAUUGAAGAGUUUGAUCAUGGCUCAGAUUGAACGCUGGCGGCAGGCCUAACACAUGCAAGUCGAGCGGUAGCACAGAGAGCUUGCUCUCGUGACGAGCGGCGGACGGGUGAGUAAUGUCUGGGAAACUGCCUGAUGGAGGGGGAUAACUACUGGAAACGGUAGCUAAUACCGCAUAACGUCGCAAGACCAAAGUGGGGGACCUUCGGGCCUCAUGCCAUCAGAUGUGCCCAGAUGGGAUUAGCUAGUAGGUGGGGUAACGGCUCACCUAGGCGACGAUCCCUAGCUGGUCUGAGAGGAUGACCAGCCACACUGGAACUGAGACACGGUCCAGACUCCUACGGGAGGCAGCAGUGGGGAAUAUUGCACAAUGGGCGCAAGCCUGAUGCAGCCAUGCCGCGUGUGUGAAGAAGGCCUUCGGGUUGUAAAGCACUUUCAGCGGGGAGGAAGGCGGUGAGGUUAAUAACCUCAUCGAUUGACGUUACCCGCAGAAGAAGCACCGGCUAACUCCGUGCCAGCAGCCGCGGUAAUACGGAGGGUGCAAGCGUUAAUCGGAAUUACUGGGCGUAAAGCGCACGCAGGCGGUCUGUCAAGUCGGAUGUGAAAUCCCGGCUCAACCUGGAACUGCAUUCGAAACUGGCAGGCUAGAGUCUUGUAGAGGGGUAGAAUUCCGUGUAGCGGUGAAAUGCGUAGAGAUCUGGAGGAAUACCGGUGGCGAAGGCGGCCCCCUGGACAAAGACUGACGCUCAGGUGCGAAAGCGUGGGGAGCAAACAGGAUUAGAUACCCUGGUAGUCCACGCCGUAAACGAUGUCGAUUUGGAGGUUGUGCCCUUGAGGCGUGGCUUCCGGAGCUAACGCGUUAAAUCGACCGCCUGGGGAGUACGGCCGCAAGGUUAAAACUCAAAUGAAUUGACGGGGGCCCGCACAAGCGGUGGAGCAUGUGGUUUAAUUCGAUGCAACGCGAAGAACCUUACCUGGUCUUGACAUCCACAGAACUUUCCAGAGAUGGAUUGGUGCCUUCGGGAACUGUGAGACAGGUGCUGCAUGGCUGUCGUCAGCUCGUGUUGUGAAAUGUUGGGUUAAGUCCCGCAACGAGCGCAACCCUUAUCCUUUGUUGCCAGCGGUUCGGCCGGGAACUCAAAGGAGACUGCCAGUGAUAAACUGGAGGAAGGUGGGGAUGACGUCAAGUCAUCAUGGCCCUUACGACCAGGGCUACACACGUGCUACAAUGGCAUAUACAAAGAGAAGCGACCUCGCGAGAGCAAGCGGACCUCAUAAAGUAUGUCGUAGUCCGGAUUGAGUCUGCAACUCGACUCCAUGAAGUCGGAAUCGCUAGUAAUCGUAGAUCAGAAUGCUACGGUGAAUACGUUCCCGGGCCUUGUACACACCGCCCGUCACACCAUGGGAGUGGGUUGCAAAAGAAGUAGGUAGCUUAACCUUCGGGAGGGCGCUUACCACUUUGUGAUUCAUGACUGGGGUGAAGUCGUAACAAGGUAACCGUAGGGGAACCUGCGGUUGGAUCACCUCCUUACCUUAAAGAA
Molecule: ribosomal RNA, 1540 nt
Filed under: Klebsiella pneumoniae
Lineage: Bacteria; Pseudomonadati; Pseudomonadota; Gammaproteobacteria; Enterobacterales; Enterobacteriaceae
Description: bacterial SSU rRNA
Rfam family: Bacterial small subunit ribosomal RNA
Source: RNAcentral